Triticum aestivum (bread wheat) is the source of this 2468-nucleotide RNA transcript. It is a transcript of the gene named putative F-box/LRR-repeat protein At5g02930, with no coding region annotated. The record is from RefSeq and is a predicted model, not a curated record. Lineage: Eukaryota; Viridiplantae; Streptophyta; Magnoliopsida; Poales; Poaceae. The transcript has 5 exons.
UCUGUAUGUUUCAAAAUAAAAGAAGAUUAAACAAAAGAAAUCGUAGCUAAAAAAAAAAGACCGCAUAGCAUCUCUGGCGCUGCCUCGGCGGCCGGCGCCGUGGUCACCGGAGCCUCCGCCAUCGGCAUCCCACGCCGGAGCUGCCGCAGCCAACAACGUACCACUCUGCAACUGCUGACUCCGCCACCGCCGUCGACGUUCCACGACGCGCCUCUUGUUCUCUCGUCCCCGAUCUCGGGGUGGAACUGCAGCUGGCGCAGUGAAGGAGAGGGGAGAGUAAGCCGAUCUUGUUCCAGGCCACGCUCGCAUUAGCGGUCGUCCUCCCACCUCCCCACGUCAGACACCCCAAGUUCUGUUGCUACUGAUCGAGACUACGUUGCACACAAGGUGUUUGAGACAGAGGCUAAGAUAGUUUGAUGACAAAGAGAAGUAUUGGUUCAGAUGAAGACCUGCGUCUGCAUAGAACAAUGGUGAAACGAAAGAAACAAGGGCUUCAACUGACCAACCUGCCAACGGAUAUUCUCUGCAGUAUCCUGUCACAAUUGCCGAUAAAAGAAGCUGUACGGACGAGCAUACUGUCAGAACAGUGGAAAUGUCUUUGGCAUCACCACCCAAAUCUAGUAUUUACUCUUAGCUCGAUGUUGCCAAUUCCUCGUACCUUACCGUUAACACCCAAUGAUGAUGAGCCAAGGAAACAUGAGUUUAUUCAGAGAGUCGAUGCAGUCCUACAGCAGCACAGUGGUGUGGGGGUUGAGAACGUUCAGUUUCGGGCUCCAUUUGAAGAUGACCAAAGGGAUCAGAUAAAUAGAUUGGUGAACUUUGCUAUUGCAUCCAAGGCGAAACAGCUUAUAUUUGAUUUCUUAACUGCCAGCCCUAUGAGGCCACCAUAUAACUUCGAUUUGCGGCUUCUCGAUGACAGUAAUAGUUUACACUUGCGAUAUGUAAAACUCUGUUCCGUUUCUCUCAAGGUGCCUGCGGAUUUCAACGGUUUUCAGAACCUUAAAUGGAUUUGCUUGGCAGGCACGAAUAUUACCGAUGAUGACCUUCAACUUUUAGUGUCCAGCUGCUGUGUUUUGGAGUUACUUGGAAUUGCUAGCUGUAGAAUGCUUACAAGGGUACAGCUAUCUCAUCCUUCAAAUCCACUGAAGCAUUUGCACGUACAUGACUGUCGCUUGCUUCAGGCGAUGGAGUUAAACUUUGGUCUGGUAGAACUUGAGUACAGUGGCCCAUCGAUACUGUUGUCAGCUCCUGGAACUUUGCUUCUCAAAAAUAUGUGCAUCGAGUUGAAUGAUAUGUGUCCUUCUCUGGAAUACAUCUCUACGAAACUUGAUAAUAACGUGCCUCGUCUUGAGAUGCUGACUCUUCAUUGCACCGAGUCAGAAGAGGACUUCGUUGCCAGGAAAGCUGCACAAAUUUUCUUAUCUAAAGCACCUGAGACUGGAGCUGACUUUUUUGGGUGCUCCGAGAAGCAAGAGUGAUAUCCUUGAUUUCGCCUGCCUUCUAAUUGCUGCUCCUUUCCUGGAAAAGCUGGAAUUUCACAUGGUGCUGCGCUGCGAGCAUCCAAGGUACACCACCGACCAGGGAGACCUACGGAGCCUUCCCUCAGAGCCUCACCUGCAUCUCAGGCUGGUCGAAAUCACAGGGUUUUACGGCUGGAAAGGCCAGCUGGAGCUGGCGCUUCACAUCGUGAGGAACUCUGUCGCGCUCGAGGCGAUGAAGAUAGAUCCGAUCCCAGCCCCUGCAGUAGUUGGUUCCGAUUUUAGGCUGCUAGGAUGCCCGGAGUUCACUUCCUUUUCGGAUGGCUACGAGGCCGCCCUUGAGUUCCUCUGCAGCGCCGACCAUCGCCAUGUUGUUCAUGUCCUGGAACCUUGAGCUCAAGGAAGUCCCGGAGAAAAAUGUAUCUCUCUCACACACACCCCGCAACUUCCUCCAGACCAGCGUGGUGCCAUGCUAGCAGGCAAGAUGGCGAGCAGACAUAAAUCACUCAAGGAAGACAAGAUAAGGCAUGGCAUGGCUUGCCACUUGCUGUUGAUAAAGAGGUGUGUGCCCUGUUCACUGCAUCCACCACCAUUCAUAUCUGGCAUGAUAGAGUUGAGGGCAAUGCGGCCAUGAUGAUUUUCCCUUAUCUGUUCAGAUACAGCACACGAUGCGCCCAUGAUGAAUAAUUUGUAGGGACCCAACUAAUCAGGCUAAGGCGAUGAUGGGACUGGGUAUUCCGGCCUGUACUUAGUUAAUUUUGCUCCUUCUCACCGCAGCUAAUGUACUCGACGCAUGUUCGCGUGCGUUCAUGUAUCACAUGUACUAAGGGUUGGAGACGCGCUUUGCUGCGCCGUUGGUGUUGUUUGGUUUCUUAAAAAAAACACUCCGCUUUGAAAUAUAUGGUGUAUUACUUUUUAAAAAGUCAAACCUUUUAAGUUUGAACAAAUUUGUAGAGAAAUAUAUAGGGAUUCAUAAUAUCAUCUCGGUAU